GACGAACGCUGGCGGCGUGCUUAACACAUGCAAGUCGAACGGAAAGGCCCCAGCUUGCUGGAGUACUCGAGUGGCGAACGGGUGAGUAACACGUGGGUAAUCUGCCCUGCACUCUGGGAUAAGCCUGGGAAACUGGGUCUAAUACUGGAUAUGACCUUUCUCCUUAUGGGGUUUGGUGGAAAGUUUUUCGGUUUAGGAUGAGCCCGCGGGCUAUCAGCUUGUUGGUGGGGUGAUGGCCUACCAAGGCGACGACGGGUAGCCGGCCUGAGAGGGUGAACGGCCACAGUGGGGCAUGGAGAAGGCCCCGACUCCUAUGGGAGGGAGGAGGGGGGAAAAUUGCCCAAUGGGGGGAAGGCUGUUGCAGGGACGCCGCGGGUGGGAAGAAGGCCUUCGGGGUUUAAAACCCUUUUGCCCGGGAAGAAGGGAGAGGGGCCGUCACGGGUAAAGAAGGCCCGGGAAAAUAAGUC
Molecule: ribosomal RNA, 467 nt
Filed under: uncultured bacterium
Lineage: Bacteria
Description: partial 16S ribosomal RNA
Rfam family: Bacterial small subunit ribosomal RNA
Source: RNAcentral